Molecule: ribosomal RNA, 253 nt
Filed under: uncultured bacterium
Lineage: Bacteria
Description: partial 16S ribosomal RNA
Rfam family: Bacterial small subunit ribosomal RNA
Source: RNAcentral
UACGUAGGUGGCGAGCGUUAUCCGGAAUUAUUGGGCGUAAAGAGCGCGCAGGUGGUUGAUUAAGUCUGAUGUGAAAGCCCACGGCUUAACCGUGGAGGGUCAUUGGAAACUGGUCGACUUGAGUGCAGAAGAGGGAAGUGGAAUUCCAUGUGUAGCGGUGAAAUGCGUAGAGAUAUGGAGGAACACCAGUGGCGAAGGCGGCUUCCUGGUCUGUAACUGACACUGAGGCGCGAAAGCGUGGGGAGCAAACGGG